Molecule: small nuclear RNA, 102 nt
Organism: Artibeus jamaicensis (Jamaican fruit-eating bat)
Lineage: Eukaryota; Metazoa; Chordata; Mammalia; Chiroptera; Phyllostomidae
Source: RefSeq, a predicted model, not a curated record
GUACUCACUUUGGCAGCACAUACACUAAAAUCGGAAAGAUGCAGAGAUUAGCACGGCCCCUGCGCAAAGAUGACACAAAUUCGUGCAGCAUUCCAUAUUUUU